CGACUUUGAAGAGUCUUCUUAAUUAUUAUCAAGGAUCGUCGUACGCCUCAACGUUUUCGCCAUUUUCGUUCCUGAGCGAACUCUCUGGGGAUCUGUUACAAAGCUUCCACAUCACAACCUGCAAGUGAGUGAAGAAUAUCUAACAGUUCCUGCAAAACAGAUCGUUAGAUAAAACCGUGCCCCAGGCGUGUCAAGAUUUCAACACUUGGGUCACUCAACCUUCCAAAUAAGAUUUC
Molecule: long non-coding RNA, 236 nt
Filed under: Lathyrus oleraceus (garden pea)
Lineage: Eukaryota; Viridiplantae; Streptophyta; Magnoliopsida; Fabales; Fabaceae
Description: Pisum sativum (pea) long non-coding RNA (PSAT_LNC009645)
Source: RNAcentral